RNAcentral lists this transfer RNA (70 nucleotides) under Siphonops annulatus. RNAcentral's name for it is "tRNA-Ala". It matches the Rfam family "tRNA". From Rfam's summary of the family: Transfer RNA (tRNA) molecules are approximately 80 nucleotides in length. Their secondary structure includes four short double-helical elements and three loops (D, anti-codon, and T loops). Further hydrogen bonds mediate the characteristic L-shaped molecular structure. tRNAs have two regions of fundamental functional importance: the anti-codon, which is responsible for specific mRNA codon recognition, and the 3' end, to which the tRNAs corresponding amino acid is attached (by aminoacyl-tRNA synthetases). tRNAs cope with the degeneracy of the genetic code in two manners: having more than one tRNA (with a specific anti-codon) for a particular amino acid; and 'wobble' base-pairing, i.e. permitting non-standard base-pairing at the 3rd anti-codon position. The record is from RNAcentral. Lineage: Eukaryota; Metazoa; Chordata; Amphibia; Gymnophiona; Siphonopidae.
AAGGCCUUAGCUUAAAAUAAAGUGUCUGAGUUGCAGUUAGAAGAUGUUGGAUGAAGUCUUGCAGGUCUUA